AUUAUCAGGAUCCAAAAGAUGCGGUACAUCUCUAUCUGAUGAUUCUUUUUCAACAUCAUGUGUUUGACGAUUGAUUGAGUUGAUGCUCGGAUUUUUUAGGGUGCUUGGGCUUGUCGAAGAAGGUCUGUCGUCGAUGUCAUUAGAACUUUCAAGAGAAAUGCAUUUAUCUAAAUCAGAUUCAAACCGCAAUACUUGCAAUUGUGACUCCAUUUUUCUGAUUUCCAAAUAUAAUGAUUGCGCUUUAGCAUCGACCUUUUUAAGGGCUUGUAAAAUAACUACUCUUGUUUUCGGCUGUAGGGGUGCACAUGUCGAUAAAUUUUUG
Molecule: non-coding RNA, 322 nt
Organism: Schizosaccharomyces pombe (fission yeast)
Lineage: Eukaryota; Fungi; Ascomycota; Schizosaccharomycetes; Schizosaccharomycetales; Schizosaccharomycetaceae
Source: the annotation of a GenBank genome assembly